ACGAACGCUGGCAACAAACCUAAAACAUGCAAGUCAAACGCUCUAGCAAUAGAGAAUAACACACGAAUGCAUAGCACGUAAGAAUAUGCCUUUUGGUACGGAACAACGUCUGGAAACGGACGCUAAUACCGUAUGGUCCCUUCGGGGUAAAGAUUUAUCGCCAAAAGAGUAGCCCGCGCUGGAUUAGCUAGUUGGUGAGGUAAUGGCUCACCAAGGCGACGAUCCAUAGCUGGUCUGAGAGGACGAUCAGCCACACUGGGACUGAGACACGGCCCAGACUCCUACGGGAGGCAGCAGUUAGGAAUAUUGGACAAUGGGGGCAACCCUGAUCCAGCCAUGCCGCGUGAGUGAUGAAGGCCUUCGGGUUGUAAAGCUCUUUAGCCGAUGAUUAUAAUGACUGUAGUCGGAAAAUAAGCCCCGGCUAACUUCGU
This 431-nucleotide ribosomal RNA is filed under the name uncultured bacterium. RNAcentral's name for it is "bacterial SSU rRNA". It matches the Rfam family "Bacterial small subunit ribosomal RNA", at positions 29 to 506 of the family's 1533-position model. The record is from RNAcentral.